GUGCUCGCUUCAGCAGCACAUAUACUAAAAUUGGGACAAUACAGAGAAGAUUAGCAUGGACCUGAGCAAGGAUGACAUGCAAAUUUGUUAAGCAUUCCAUAUUUUU
Callithrix jacchus (white-tufted-ear marmoset) is the source of this 106-nucleotide small nuclear RNA. The record is from Ensembl. Lineage: Eukaryota; Metazoa; Chordata; Mammalia; Primates; Cebidae.